AUCAGUAUGUUUAAAUCUUGGUGAUAACAAACAAGUGGUAAUUAAAGGGUGCUCUUUAAUAAUUCACUAGCGCAGGUACCGCGCAUUGUGAUGGAAAAAUAAAUAAAAAAUAAAAUUAAAAAUUAAAAAAAUAAAAAGAGUUAAAGAAUAAAAAAGAAUAUAAACAAAAAAAACUAAAGAGAAGGCAGCUAUAGUAAAAGUAUAAGAAUAAAAAUAUAAAAAAUAUAAAAGAAUAACAAAAAACUAUAAGAAUAAUAAACUAUAAGAAUAAUAAAUUAUAUUUAUAACAACAGUAAAAGUUGAGAAUUAAAAGAUUAUGGUUUAUAGCUCGAGUCAGAAAUUAUAACUAAUUAAACUUUGAGAACUUAAGCGUCACAUACUUAAUAGUUUGAACAAAAAAAUAUAAGCAUUAAAAUUUGAAGACAAAAGUAUACCACGUCCGUAGUUUGGGACCAAAAGCGUAGUUUACUUUUUAUAUAUAUUUUAAUUUUAUUUCGGAUGAAGAUAAAAUUGAUCAUCGAUCGAUUUUAUUUAAUUAGUAAUUUUAUUCGACGAAAAAAUAUAUUAAACUUGUUAAAUGUGGCCUAUGUGAUUUCUUUAAGACGAUCUAUAAAGAUAUGGUCGGUUUAUUCAAGUCGAUAUAUAAAGAUACGGUAGAUCUAACAGUUAGAAUGUAUCUGGACACGUCCUUGAUGGAUGGACGUGACUUAACAUCCUUACAUUAAGUUAUAUAUAAAUAUGUAACAUAUAAGAGUUCCGAUCUAACUCUAAUCCUAAUUCUGUGACGAUUCCAUCUCCGGAAAUUAGAGAAUUAGACUCGAAACAUCCAGCACUUUCGUAGAUCGUGAAUAAGGACAAACCACGAGCAAGAAUCACCAUCCACAAUUCAGAUUUAGAAAUCGAAAUUAUGGCAGAAGGUAUGAUCUUAAUUUAUUAUAGCGUUUAACAUGUGGUAUCAAAGCUGCAUCUUUCGUCGGAUUUUUGUUUCUUUUUAGAUUUUGUUUGAUUUUGUAGCAUCUCUCGAGCUUAGCUAUCUCACUGACUACAGCAUCAGUGGCUUGUCGACACAUCUGUAGAGUGUCGGGACGAGUUAUAGUCGUUUUGGUGCGAAAUAGACGCGAAAACGAACUCAAGAGUUGUGAAAGUUGGAGUUUGGAUACUGAAAUCUGCAAAAGUAGGAUUUUGAGUAUUGUUUACCGGUACCUGAGAGGAGUACCGG
RNAcentral lists this long non-coding RNA (1219 nucleotides) under Ananas comosus (pineapple). RNAcentral describes it as "long non-coding RNA (ACOM_LNC042768)". The record is from RNAcentral. Lineage: Eukaryota; Viridiplantae; Streptophyta; Magnoliopsida; Poales; Bromeliaceae.